GUAGUCAUGGCCGAGUGGUUAAGGCGAUGGAUUAGAAAUCCAUGGGGGAUUUCCCCAUGUCGGUUCGAAUCCUGCUGACUACG
Hemiscyllium ocellatum (epaulette shark) is the source of this 83-nucleotide non-coding RNA. The record is from the annotation of a RefSeq genome assembly. Lineage: Eukaryota; Metazoa; Chordata; Chondrichthyes; Orectolobiformes; Hemiscylliidae.